RNAcentral lists this ribosomal RNA (639 nucleotides) under uncultured Actinomycetes bacterium. RNAcentral describes it as "bacterial SSU rRNA". It matches the Rfam family "Bacterial small subunit ribosomal RNA", at positions 232 to 885 of the family's 1533-position model. The record is from RNAcentral. Lineage: Bacteria; Bacillati; Actinomycetota; Actinomycetes.
CGCGGCCUAUCAGCUUGUUGGUGAGGUAACGGCUCACCAAGGCAUCGACGGGUAGCUGGUCUGAGAGGACGAUCAGCCACACUGGGACUGAGACACGGCCCAGACUCCUACGGGAGGCAGCAGUAGGGAAUCUUGCGCAAUGGGCGAAAGCCUGACGCAGCAACGCCGCGUGGGGGAUGAAUGCCUUCGGGUUGUAAACCCCUUUCAGCAGGGACGAAAAUGACGGUACCUGCAGAAGAAGCUCCGGCCAACUACGUGCCAGCAGCCGCGGUAAUACGUAGGGAGCGAGCGUUGUCCGGAAUUAUUGGGCGUAAAGAGCUCGUAGGCGGUUCAGUAAGUCGGGUGUGAAAACUCAAGGCUCAACCUUGAGACGCCACUCGAUACUGCUGUGACUUGAGUCCGGUAGAGGAGUGUGGAAUUCCUGGUGUAGCGAUGAAAUGCGCAGAUAUCAGGAGGAACACCAGCGGCGAAGGCGGCACUCUGGGCCGGUACUGACGCUGAGGAGCGAAAGCAUGGGGAGCAAACAGGAUUAGAUACCCUGGUAGUCCAUGCCGUAAACGUUGGGCACUAGGUAUGGGAUCAUAUCAACGGAUUCCGUGCCGUAGCUAACGCAUUAAGUGCCCCGCCUGGGGAGUACGG